AAUCCAUGCUGUGGGCACUUCCACAAAAGAUAAUUGAAUCGCUCCCAUGCCUAAAACAAUAACUCAAGCUCCAUCUGAACAAAUAAUGAUAUCUCAUUGCGAAGCUU
Dioscorea cayenensis subsp. rotundata (Guinea yam) is the source of this 107-nucleotide small nucleolar RNA. The record is from RefSeq and is a predicted model, not a curated record. NCBI's taxonomy places the organism in Eukaryota, Viridiplantae, Streptophyta, Magnoliopsida, Dioscoreales, Dioscoreaceae.